Molecule: small RNA, 75 nt
Filed under: Pseudomonas sp. 102515
Lineage: Bacteria; Pseudomonadati; Pseudomonadota; Gammaproteobacteria; Pseudomonadales; Pseudomonadaceae
Description: sX9 sRNA
Rfam family: Xanthomonas sRNA sX9
Source: RNAcentral
AUGUACUACUCGUACACUCCGGCUCCUGCGCGCCGCACACACCUGUCUGACAACCGCUCGCGACGUUUUAUAACC